This is a long non-coding RNA of Prosopis cineraria, 870 nucleotides long. RefSeq lists it as uncharacterized. The transcript is spliced from 2 exons. The record is from RefSeq and is a predicted model, not a curated record. NCBI's taxonomy places the organism in Eukaryota, Viridiplantae, Streptophyta, Magnoliopsida, Fabales, Fabaceae.
GGAAAGGCAGAGCACGCGCAGAGUUACUCACGAGCAGAGAGAGUAUAGCUCUAAACACACACUAAAACACAGAAGAAACAUAGAAGAGCAAGACUGGCAUAUGAAGACAGUAAACUAGAGAUCUCUGAAGGGGAAAGAGGAACCCAGAGAUGAAGAGCAGAGCAGACUUUCGGCCACACGCAUUCAAAUCUCUCACACAAGGGAUUCAGAGUUUUGCUGAUCGCACGCACAUAGAGGAGGGCCAAGAGGGCUAAAAAAAAGAAAAAGGGAUCUGGGACUGAGAGGGUGAGAAGGUUGAAUCUGAGAUGGAGAAAUUUCUGAAAAGGGAGAGGAACCGAGAGCUUAGACCGAAGAGCUAGGAGAUUUCUGGAGACUGUUUUAAAAAAACAAAGAGAUAGAGAUGGAGAGAAGUCGAAGAUUGACGCAGACGAGAGCAUUCAGAGAUUAAGAGGGAUCUGAGUAUGAAGCACAUGGAAUAAUGGAGAACAACUAAAAGCUAGAGGAUGUUGAGCGAUUUGGCACUACACAGGUUCUCUAAUUUGUUUGCUUUUGGAUUUAGAAUGUUUUAUGUUUGAUUUUGAUUUCUCAUUUCCAAAUUUUAUGAUUAAAUAUCAUAAGCUUUGAUCAGAGUAGGGGACCAUGAGAAAUUUUUGAACAUGAGAUUGAUUUUUGUUUUAGAAAGGAUUCAAUUAAUAUGUCCUGUUAGUUCUUUGAUAAAUCCUCUGAGUGUAUAUACUUUGUUAGAAUGGAUGGAUAGAGAAUUUGGCAUGAGGUGCUCUGUUCUGACUUGUGCUUUUAGGACGCUUGUGCUGCGUUGAUUAUUCAUGCAUGUUCAAAGGCAUUUAAAUUUCAGAAGAUGAAUUUUUUGCA